GGUGAGAAAUGAUGGAUGAGAAAUGAAAAUCCUAAUGUGACUAAUAGAUUUCUACUAAGUACUGUGGUCUAAUCAAUGCCAUGUACCUCACCUAACAGUUAUUAAUAAUAUGCACACUGAUGCGUGGAUAACUCUUUGUCCAAAUACUUCUCUGAGCAUAUUACAGUGACUUGAUCUCUAAGUCAUGUGGGCUCACCUAACAGUUAUUGAUCACACUACUUAGUUAAGCCCGACCCACUAUUCACAAGCUGGUGCAAG
RNAcentral lists this long non-coding RNA (258 nucleotides) under Elaeis guineensis (African oil palm). Its description in RNAcentral is "long non-coding RNA (EGUI_LNC051527)". The record is from RNAcentral. Lineage: Eukaryota; Viridiplantae; Streptophyta; Magnoliopsida; Arecales; Arecaceae.